AGCUCAGUUGGUAGAGCAUGGUGUUUGCAACGCCAGGGUUGUGGGUUCAAUUCCCAC
Molecule: transfer RNA, 57 nt
Filed under: Salmo salar (Atlantic salmon)
Lineage: Eukaryota; Metazoa; Chordata; Actinopteri; Salmoniformes; Salmonidae
Rfam family: tRNA
About the family: Transfer RNA (tRNA) molecules are approximately 80 nucleotides in length. Their secondary structure includes four short double-helical elements and three loops (D, anti-codon, and T loops). Further hydrogen bonds mediate the characteristic L-shaped molecular structure. tRNAs have two regions of fundamental functional importance: the anti-codon, which is responsible for specific mRNA codon recognition, and the 3' end, to which the tRNAs corresponding amino acid is attached (by aminoacyl-tRNA synthetases). tRNAs cope with the degeneracy of the genetic code in two manners: having more than one tRNA (with a specific anti-codon) for a particular amino acid; and 'wobble' base-pairing, i.e. permitting non-standard base-pairing at the 3rd anti-codon position.
Source: Rfam by way of RNAcentral